Molecule: long non-coding RNA, 3868 nt
Filed under: Malus domestica (apple)
Lineage: Eukaryota; Viridiplantae; Streptophyta; Magnoliopsida; Rosales; Rosaceae
Description: long non-coding RNA (MDOM_LNC011437)
Source: RNAcentral
UUGUAAUAUAUAAUUUUAAUAAUUGAAUGAAAAAUAGUGUUAACCAAUUUCUUAGAAAGGUUAUGUUGUUUAAGUGAUAUUCCCUUGAUAAGUGAUGUAUACUUAUGGUGAAAAGUUACAUCUCUUUAAUAAGUAGAAGUUGGAUUCUAUAUAAACCCAUGAAACCAUUGGUAUUAGAUAUAGAGAAAUUAGAGUUAAUUUUUACUCUUGAGAAAUAGGGUUUCCCCACUUUAUUUCUCUCAUUCUUAGUCAAACUCCGAGUCGUGUCUUGAGAGUACGGAAUAUAUGAAGUUCGCCAGAGUCCGAAGAUUGAAGUGCUUUGACUUUGGAUUAUAGAUUGUUGAAUCCUGGGAGAUAGACGCCUAUCGAACUACAAGCACAAGAGUAGGGGCAAAAUUCUAUCUUUAGGACAUUGCAUUUAUGCAAGCCUCAAUCUCCAAGUUUGUCAGUUCUCUAACUUUCACUCUAGUUGUUUAUAUUAAUCUCAUAUAUAAUUGAUGUUGUGAAUUUCUUUAUUAUUAUUGUUAUUAUUGGAAUUAUAUUGUUAUUUUUCAUAUUUUCUAAUAUUGCUCCAACAAUCUAAAGAUAGAAUUUUUUUCUCUUGCAAUAUUAGAGAGUAUGAGUCUGAGUACGUAAUAGAAGAAGUUAAAAUCAAUAACAUUGAACGUAGCCCUCAAUGCUAAGUAGAAGAAAUUCUGAUGUUGCUUUGGAAAAUUUGUGGGGCUGGAUUUUACGUGCAUAUUGAUGUAUAUUAGUUUAUUUGAUGUGCUUGAAUUCUUGAUAUAUACAAUAAUGUCUGUAUGUUGCCACACUAGUGGAAAUUGCAUUGUGUAUAUACUAGAAGAUGUUUUUCGGUUUUCAUCUGGCAGUGAUAUGUGUGCUUUCAUUGUCUGCAUAUGUAUGUUACAACAUAUAUGCCUUCUUGCUUGGUUAUUCUCACUAAAAUGAAUCUGCCAUGCGUAUGAGAUUAAAAGAAUUAAUAAAUAGAUUUUUCUACAUUUGACAGUGAUAGGGUAUUGAUGUCUUUGGCCAUUUACCACCAUGUUAAAAUUUGAAUUGUCAUAUGGGCUGAUGCCCAGAGUGUUUCUUUCAAAGAACAAAAUUAAAUUAUUUCAUGAGUUACUGAUAAGUGACCUGGAUAUCUCCAUGAAAAGGUAUUCAGUACUUUAACCAAUCAGUUUAGUGUGGUUCGUGGUUAGGGCUGAAAUCAAAUAUGGCUAUUCUAAAUUUUCUUUGAUUAUCAUGAUUGGUUUUGAGACAUUUUCAGAGAAACAUGGAUAUAUUGAUAAUAUAUGUUACACUGCAAUCAUGAAUCUUUUGUUUCACAUAUGCGAUUCUCAUGAUUCAAUUGCAUCAUUCAUGAAUAUCUGGCAAGUAUGUUUGGCAUUGACUUUUCUAUUAGAAAGGAGGUGACGGUUAAGGUUAAAUGAAAUGGCUUGAUUCAAAAAUUUGCAUUAUUUGCAAAUAUAAAAGGCAAUAAUGUGUACCAGUUCGUGGACUGAUACAAUGUUUCUUUCUUGGGACAAAGGAAAUCAAUUUUUGAUUGGGCACGAGGAUGAUUAAUCGGGUUUUGUUGAGAAAACCCUUAUAUUCAUAAAGAUGUCAGCGAAAGCUACUACCCAAAUAAAAUGGGGUUGUUCUAAAUUUGUAUUGAAACAGUUUGGAAAACUCCAGUAGAAGAUAUGAACCCAACUUCCAUGGUAUCAUAGAAUAUAAGAUGAUUAUUCAUAUUUAUUCAUGGAAAGAAUGGAAUACAUAUGAAGGAAAUUGAACAAUUACUCAGGCAUAUGUGUGCAUAUGCAAAAUUGGGUUUAGUCUUUAGUCAUGGCCAGUCAUGAUAAGAACCCAGAAAGUGGAUAAAUUUGGCUUUGAGAAGCAACGAAAAUAAAAUGAUAAACUAAACUCAUUUUAGAUGAGUUAUCUGCCAACGUUGAAAAACGCUUAUUUAAUUAUGGGGUCAAAGUCCAAGACUUAUAUUGAACCAUGUGGAGGUUAAGUUGUAGAAAGAUGCAACUAUUUAACAAAUGGAUGGUUUUGUAAUGUGGUGGAAUUGAAAAUUGAAAUCUGCCAUGAAAUUCAAAGGAAAAGCAUGUCAUUUGAAGUGUUGCUUUUGAUAGUGAAAGGGUAUGACCUUUCCAACUAGUCAUUGACAUAUUCAAAUGUGUUCAUGGGCUGGUAUGUAUACUUCUACAUACCGACUGGAUGUAUUAUCAUAUAGUGAUAAUAAUGUUGCAAAAUCAUUUAUAUGCUUUCUUCGAAGUGAUAUAUUUAUAAAUUAUAAGAGGCUCAAGAUGAUAUUGAGUGUCAUUUAAAAUGAUAUUAAUAUAAAGAAAUAAUCAUGAAAGUGUGGGGGUCUUUCAAAAAAGGACAAAACCAUACUGAAAAUGUAAAAGACAUUUCGCAGAUUUGAAUUCGACAUAAUGAUGCUUAUUAAGUAAGCAUAUGAUUGGACAUGGACAUUGGGUCAUGCAUGUUGGUCAUAGUAAGGAAAGAAUGAAAGCCAAGAAGUGAUUUUCUCAUAAUUUCUAGUGAGGCAUGAAUGCCUAAAAAGAUAGAUAAAGUCUAUCUUAAUUGUUCCUUACUUCUUAAAGUGGAAAAUGUGAUCGAUUUAAUGAUAGCAUUACAAGAAACUACAAUUAUGAAAGAAUUGUGGGGGUUGGUUAAAAGUAAUUUGCUAAUUGAACGACAUUUAAGAUGUCAUCUCCUGUAAUGAGUAAUUGUUUAAGGUAUGGCAAGGUUAGAGACCUUCUUACAACUACCUUAAAUGUGGGGGAGUAUGCCCAAGUAUUAGCAAAUUACUAACUAAAAUCCCAACAUGUACGGUUGAGGACUUGACAUUGUAAAUCAACUACUCUCGUAUGAAAUAUAGUUUCAUAAGAUGGAUUGUGCACACCAUUAAAAAUAGUCAACCUAGUAGUGGAUCCAAUUAUUAAAUGUUAGACUAGAGAGUAAGUUGAUCAUCGAGAGGAAUGAGGCUAAAGCCAACAUAAUUAAUGAAUCAGCCGAGCGGAAACCUAACUUAGUUGAUUGGAGAUCCCAUGGUCUAAGUUCAAUAGGCAAACUGGUUGGGCAUGAUUCAAAGAAAUUAACACACUAUAUACCUCAUUCCUAUGGUGGAAGAAGUGUGUUGUCUGCAGAAGUUUUAGGUUGUAUAUUUAUACUUAAUGACAAUGAUAUCUUAUAAAUAAGAGGAAUAGAGCAGACUAUUCUUAAUCAGUGGUCACCUAUGUGAGAGUAGAAGUGGGUCGCUUCUAUGAGAAUGAGAUGGCUAAAUUCUCUAAAGCUCUCAUGAAUCCGGGAUUUGUUCAGGACCAAAAUGAACACAACCGUAUGAACCGGAAUAUAUUAGGAUUAGUGAUGUGUGUUGCUUAUUGUCUCGGUUUACUACUACGGUGAACAGUUCAAGAUUCUAUAUUCACUGCGUCACCAAGUAAAUCCGAUAAGUAUUCACUAGGGUAGGUUCAAGUCUAAAAGACACCUCUCCCGAUGCAUCUCUUGUCCGCCUGUACUCUCAAAUUCUUCCUAAUUUUUCAUUCAUGUGGGGGAUUGUUGGAAAUUAUAUAUUAUAAUAUGAAAUAUUGUAAUAUAUAAUUUUAAUAAUUGAAUGGAAAAUAGUGUUAACCAAUUUCUUAGAAAGGUUAUGUUGUUUAAGUGAUAUUCCCUUAAUAAGUGAUGUAUACUUAUAGUGAAAAGUUACAUCUCUUUAAUAAGUAGAAGUUGGAUACUAUAUAAACCCAUGAAACCAUUGGUAUUAGAUAUAGAGAAAUUAGAGUUAAUUUUUACUCUUGAGAAAUAGGGUUUCCCCACUUUAUUUCUCUCAUUCUUAGUCAAACUCCGAGUCGUGUCUUGAGAGUACGGAAUAUAUGAA